RNAcentral lists this transfer RNA (76 nucleotides) under Lentisphaerae bacterium GWF2_49_21. RNAcentral's name for it is "tRNA-Phe". It matches the Rfam family "tRNA". From Rfam's summary of the family: Transfer RNA (tRNA) molecules are approximately 80 nucleotides in length. Their secondary structure includes four short double-helical elements and three loops (D, anti-codon, and T loops). Further hydrogen bonds mediate the characteristic L-shaped molecular structure. tRNAs have two regions of fundamental functional importance: the anti-codon, which is responsible for specific mRNA codon recognition, and the 3' end, to which the tRNAs corresponding amino acid is attached (by aminoacyl-tRNA synthetases). tRNAs cope with the degeneracy of the genetic code in two manners: having more than one tRNA (with a specific anti-codon) for a particular amino acid; and 'wobble' base-pairing, i.e. permitting non-standard base-pairing at the 3rd anti-codon position. Lineage: Bacteria; Pseudomonadati; Lentisphaerota. The record is from RNAcentral.
GGCGAGGUAGCUCAGUCGGUAGAGCAGAGGACUGAAAAUCCUUGUGUCGUCGGUUCAAUUCCGACCCUUGCCACCA